CUUCACUACAACUUUGCAUUGAUUUUGAAUUUUUGAUGUGUAGGAUAGUUGGGAGACUUUGAAGUGGUGUCGCUAGGCAUCAUGGAGUCGUCGUUGAAAUACCAACCUUUAAACAUUUAGAAUCUAAUCCCUAACGGGAAACAGUGCAUGGUGGGUAGUUUGACUGGGGUGGUCGCCUCCUAAAAUGUAACGGAGGCUUGCAAAGGUUCCCUCAGUACGGUUGGUAAUCGUACAUAGAGCGUAUUAGUAUAAGGGAGCUUGACUGUGAGACAUACAUGUCGAGCAGGGACGAAAGUCGGCUAAAGUGAUCCGGUGGUUCUGUAUGGAAGGGCCAUCGCUCAAAGGAUAAAAGGUA
Molecule: ribosomal RNA, 355 nt
Filed under: uncultured organism
Description: bacterial LSU rRNA
Rfam family: Bacterial large subunit ribosomal RNA
Source: RNAcentral